UCUUCAUUGUCUCUUUUUCUGCAUUCUCAACUCUUUCACUCAUUGUUCGUAUUCAUGCUUUAAAGAUCAAUUUUUGUGUCUUUUUUGGUGGUGGUAGAGUGUUUGAUCAAGAUUUGCUACAAUGGCUGUGAUUGCUCUUGUAGCAGCGUUUAGGUGAUUGUGUUGUUGUUGCUGGAAAAUCGGUGUUCGUGUUAGUAUCUUUGUUGUGGAUUUAAGAAUCUGAUUUGGUUCGUGUUUGGAUCCGAUAUUGAGCUGGGAUCAUGGCUUCAUCGCUCGUAAGAACUCGUUCCCCAUGCCAUUUUUGGUCAAGCAUUUAAGUCGAGUGAAGAGGAAGAAGUCUCACUCAUGGUGGUGGGAUAGCACCAACAACUCCAAGUGGCUACAAGAAAAUCUCCAAGACAUGGAUGUUAAUGUCAAGAGGAUGAUGAAACUGAUAGAAGAGGAUGCCGAUUCUUUCGCAAAGAAGGCCGAAUCGUAUUUUGUUGGUCAGCCUCGUUGAGGAGUUUUAUCGGAUGCAUCGUGCGUUGGCUGAGCGGUAUGAUCAUGUCACGCGCGAGCUCACGAGCAAGGACUCGUCCACGCAGAAUCUGCAUGAACAGCUGAAAUCGGCGCAGAAGGAUGUCGCUGUAUGGAAAAACAAAGUCGAGAGAGAGAAACGUGACGCUGCUAGGCUGCAGGACCGCGUGGUGAGGUACAAGACAAAUCUCUUGGAGCGAGAUCAAGAAAUCCGGGGGCUGAGGGAGACGAUAGGCAACGCGAACAAGGCCUUGGCCGAAGAAAACAAGCACCUUCAAGCAGAGAUGGCGAGGAUAACGAAAGAGCACGCGUAUUUGGAGGAUGUUGGAAAUAUUGUAGCCUUUACACGGGAAAACUCUUGCUAUUACAAAAGAACAAAACUGGAAGGUAAAUAUAAUAAUAAAAAUUACAACGAAA
Salvia splendens (bonfire salvia) is the source of this 933-nucleotide long non-coding RNA. RefSeq lists it as uncharacterized. The record is from RefSeq and is a predicted model, not a curated record. The transcript has 4 exons. NCBI's taxonomy places the organism in Eukaryota, Viridiplantae, Streptophyta, Magnoliopsida, Lamiales, Lamiaceae.